UGAGGAAUAUUGGUCAAUGGGGGCAACCCUGAACCAGCCAAGUCGCGUGAAGGAUGAAGGUCUUAUGGAUUGUAAACUUCUUUUACACGGGAAUAAAGCGGGGGACGUGUCCCUCUUUGCAUGUACCGUGUGAAUAAGGAUCGGCUAACUCCGUGCCAGCAGCCGCGGUAAUACGGAGGAUCCGAGCGUUCUCCGGAUUUAUUGGGUUUAAAGGGUGCGCAGGCGGGAUGUUAAGUCGGCGGUGAAAUUUUGCAGCUCAACUGUAAAAGUGCCUUCGAUACUGGCCUUCUUGAGUGUGGAUGAAGUAGGCGGAAUUUGUGGUGUAGCGGUGAAAUGCUUAGAUAUCACGAGGAACUCCGAUUGCGCAGGCAGCUUACUAAGCCACAACUGACGCUCAUGCACGAAGGCGUGGGGAUCAAACA
This 422-nucleotide ribosomal RNA is filed under the name uncultured bacterium. Its description in RNAcentral is "bacterial SSU rRNA". It matches the Rfam family "Bacterial small subunit ribosomal RNA", at positions 355 to 774 of the family's 1533-position model. The record is from RNAcentral.